UGUUUCUAACUUCAUGCAUGAAUUUUAAACUAAUGAAAGCCCAUCAUUUUACUUUUUCAGGUUACAAUAUUUGCCGUACUCUUUAGCGAAUUUAAUUUAAAAGCAGUUUGGUUAUCGGCUAAUCAAGCGCAGCCUUUACUUAACUUUCAAACAGACAUUGAUGAAAAGACAAACGAACAAGUUUUAACUUGUUUCCUGUUACCUCCAAAGUUGAAGACAGAUCUGAAGUAUUUCCUGGUCAAGUGAACGGUGGCUGUGAAGAAAAUUAUGAAACUUACAGUCAGUACCGAGAGUAUUAUGAAGAAGACUGGCAAGACAAAAAUUCCUCCCACAGACUCUCAGUCAAGUUUUCUGACGAUACUCAAGUGGAAGAUAAUAAAAAUACGUCAUUUGUGAGACAAAAUACGCCACAUCCCAAAGAAUUGAAAGCCAAAGCUAUGAAAUUAUUUCUAAAUCAAAAUCCAAUGACUCCAGUAGAGAAAUGACCGCAGAAGAAUUGGAGGAAGUUAAAAACCAUUCUCAAAAGGAUCAACUUCAAACAGAGACAGAACAGCCGGCCAGCGCAAGGAGUUCCUAUUCCGAGCCUCCGACUGAAGCGAAAGAUUCUGUUAAAUUAAAUUCUAUCCAUGAAAUAUUGCCCAAUGAGCAUGGUGUUGAGUCGUGUAGUGAUACGUGUCCUAGCGAAUCAGAAGACUUUAGCAGAGAGGUGAGUUCUGAAUCAUUUUAUUUUAUUUUUGAAAAUAGUAACUUAAACGCUUAAUCAAAAAAUGUAUAAUAUAUGGCUUCUUUAUUUAUGAUCAUUAACAGGUAAAUGAUUUUCUACUCCUUCUGUUUUCUGUUGGUUCAAGGAAAUCUCUUUUUCGCAGAUUUUCUGUUUUGCAAAGCACAUGCAUGAAACCUAAAUAUGAAAUGAAAACUCUAUUGUUUACAGUCAUGUGUUUGAACGACUGCCAAUUUUUUUAGGGGAGAGAGGCAGAUGUUUUUGGGAAUGUCAAAGCAAAAGAUUAUUUUUAAUGUAUUUAGUUUAUAUAAUAAACAAUUUAAUUGGUUCCCUUUGAAGCAUCAAAGGAACAAACAAUUUUACCAAAAAUCUGUGCAUGAAACAAUAUUGUUGCACCUUAUCGCAAAGUGCCUAGGAUGAUCACAAACAAUCUUGAUUUGUAUGGUUUAAUUCUUUAUUUCUACUGAUUUUUUCUGUGUUACAAAUAAAAUAAAACAAUUUCUAUGAAUAUUUGCCCAUGCAAGGUGUCUAUUGACCAGGAAAGUUAGGGAAAGUUGCAAACUCCUGUGCAAGAUUAAGAUUUUUUGCAAAACUUCAUGGCGCUUCAAUACUGAGCCGCAUAGCGCUCUCUUCCGGUCUGUUCAGUAGUGGAUUUUUCCCCUGAAAAUUUGAGCCCCCGGCUGAUCUAUAUUGAUACUUUGCGCUGAGCUAUGUUUAUUUUGGUGUUGCUUUUGAUUGUUGAAAAAAUGCUAGGGACUGUCAGAGAGACAAAUAAAUCAAAAGUCAGGAAAAACGUGGAAAACCGGGAGGAAGGGGGAAAAAAUUUUGACAGACAUACUUUCGUGUAAAGUUGAAUCUUUCGUCUUGAUGUCUAGCUCAUACUAUUUUGACACUGAAAUUAAGAACACCCUAUAACUUGAUUGUGUUAUUUAAAGUGUUUCACAGGUUCUCUUUCUCUAUUUUUAAAAAAUCUUUACUUUUGCAUGAAAUUUAAGUGAAUACAUGUAAAUAGUCAGAGAAAAAGCAUGCUGAAAUCGACGAAUUAAAUUAGGUUGAUUCUCCUUUAGGGGCCAUUCAUAAAAUACGUAUUUCUUAAUUUUGGAUUUUCGACAACCCCCUUUCACCCUUUGUACCUAUCUUGUGACAUAAGUUCCUAUCCUUAAUACGCAGAAACACAAUAGCGCCGUGCUCUUCUCAACUCCUCUCUUCCCUAGAGUGUUACAUAUUUUAUGAACAGUGCCUUGUUAAAAUAUAAUGUGGCAGCUGAUUUACACUGUUUUAAACUGAGUUGUAGAAUUUUCUCAUUUCACCAUUGAUUCGCAUUAUUCUUGUACAAUUAUGUCACUUUAAGCUUCUAUUCUAAAGUAUAGUUUAUAAGUAAGUCUGCUUGUCUCUGAAAUUAGUCUCAAUUUAGAAUUUGUCUUGCACCAAGUCUUAAGAUAAUAUUUAAUAAUUACAUGAACGCUGCGCAGCUCUUUUCAGUUCCACAGCCGAAAAUUUGAUGGAAUAAACCCAAAUUUUUGCAACAGCAAAAGUUGACCUAGGAAAAUUAAAGACAAAUAAAAUUGAAUCGGGCAGUGUAGAACCAGCUUGUCUUCGUGGAAAAAUUUUUGUGAGAAAUCACUUGAAGUUAUUCGCCAGGAUUUUUCAUUGAGUAUCGUUUCU
Molecule: long non-coding RNA, 2386 nt
Filed under: Bemisia tabaci
Lineage: Eukaryota; Metazoa; Arthropoda; Insecta; Hemiptera; Aleyrodidae
Description: lncRNA ENSSWEETPG002179
Source: RNAcentral